GCUCCGGCCGGCCGGCAGGGGGCGCGCGCUCCCCGAACUCCCGCGCACCGCGGAGAAGGCGGCCCUGGCGCCGGGAAGCAGUGGGAAAAUCGCAAGGAAGCCGGUGCACGUGCCGUAUGUGACUUGGCUUGGCUUCCCCUGAAAGCAGCGGCUGUGGGGAGUUGAUUCGGAAGUGAAGGGCCCUGGGCGACCCGGCGAGUAGAGGCAACACCAACACUCCUCCUUAGCGAGGGGUCUCCCCGCCGCGGUGGCUGCCCGGCCCCAAGGACAGGAGGGAUUUGUGCACUGACUCCUGACCCCGUCCUCCAGCGCUGCUCUGAAGGGAGAGUCUGUGCAGUGGCACCUGCGCGAAGCUGGCCAAAGCCUGCUCAGACUGCUCACCUGUGCGGGAUGGAACAAAAGAAUUUCGCUGUUGUUGCCCAGGCUGGAGUGCAAUAGCAAGAUUUCAGCUCACCACGACCGCCGCCUCCCACGUUCAAGCGAUUCUCCUGCCUCAGCCUCCCAAGUAGCUGGGAUUACAGGCAUCUGCCAGCACGCCUGGCUAAUUUUUGUAUUUUUAGUAGAGACAGGGUUUCUCUAUGUUGGUCAGGCUGGUCUUGAACUCCCGACCUCAGGUAAUCCAUCCGCCUUGGCCUCCCAAAGUGCUGGGAUUACAGGCGUGAGCCCGGUCAUCUGCAUAUUUUCUUUUGCAAAUCUCAGGGUUCUGUUUUUUUGUUUUAUUUUGUUUUGUUUUGAGACAGAGUCGUUCUGUCACCGAGGCUCGAGUGCAGUGGCGUGAUCUAGUCUCAGUGCAAUCUCCGCCUCCCAGGUUCAAGUGAUUCUCCUGCCUCAGCCUCCAAGUAGCUGAGAUUACAGGCAACUGCCACCGUGCCUGGCUAAUUUUUGUAUUUUUUUAGUAGAGACGGGGUUUCACCAUGUUGGCCAGGCUGGUCUCCAACUCUUGAUGUCAGGUGAUCCACCUGCCUUGGCCUCCCAAAAUGCUGGGAUUACAGGUGUAAGCCACUGCGCCCAGUCUACUUCAUAUUAUUAAGAAAUCCAUGAAAAUAUAAUUGUAAUGGCUGUAACAUGUCUUCACAUAAACUAAUUGGAGUAUAACAGUUUCCAUCAAAUCUAAAAUAUCAUCAAUUUUAAGUCCCACCAUUAUUCUCUGUACUACUACGAACAAAUUCUGGCCUGGCACGGUGGCUCAUGCCUGUAAUCCCAGCACUUUGGGAGGCCGAGGCAGUCAGAUCACCUGAGUUCAGGAGUUCCAGACCGGCCUGGCCAACCUAUCUCUACUAAAAAUACAAAAAUUAGCCUGGCGUGGUGGCAUGUGCCUAUAGUCCCAGCUACUUGUUGGGAGGCUGAGGCAGGAGGAUCA
Long non-coding RNA from Gorilla gorilla gorilla (western lowland gorilla), 1360 nucleotides. RefSeq lists it as uncharacterized. The transcript is spliced from 3 exons. Lineage: Eukaryota; Metazoa; Chordata; Mammalia; Primates; Hominidae. The record is from RefSeq and is a predicted model, not a curated record.